RNAcentral lists this ribosomal RNA (275 nucleotides) under uncultured Thauera sp. RNAcentral describes it as "partial 16S ribosomal RNA". It matches the Rfam family "Bacterial small subunit ribosomal RNA", at positions 338 to 605 of the family's 1533-position model. Lineage: Bacteria; Pseudomonadati; Pseudomonadota; Betaproteobacteria; Rhodocyclales; Zoogloeaceae. The record is from RNAcentral.
CCUACGGGUGGCUGCAGUGGGGAAUUUUGGACAAUGGGCGCAAGCCUGAUCCAGCCAUGCCGCGUGAGUGAAGAAGGCCUUCGGGUUGUAAAGCUCUUUCGGCCGGGAAGAAAUCGGCGACUCUAACAUAGUCGCUGGAUGACGGUACCGGACUAAGAAGCACCGGCUAACUACGUGCCAGCAGCCGCGGUAAUACGUAGGGUGCGAGCGUUAAUCGGAAUUACUGGGCGUAAAGCGUGCGCAGGCGGUUUUGUAAGACAGAUGUGAAAUCCCCG